UAGGGAAUCUUCCACAAUGGGCGAAAGCCUGAUGGAGCAACACCGCGUGAGUGAAGAAGGGUUUCGGCUCGUAAAGCUCUGUUGUUAAAGAAGAACACGUAUGAGAGUAACUGUUCAUACGUUGACGGUAUUUAACCAGAAAGUCACGGCUAACUACGUGCCAU
RNAcentral lists this ribosomal RNA (164 nucleotides) under uncultured bacterium. RNAcentral's name for it is "partial 16S rRNA". It matches the Rfam family "Bacterial small subunit ribosomal RNA", at positions 355 to 511 of the family's 1533-position model. The record is from RNAcentral.